UGAAGUAGAGGUUGCAUUAUUUAUGAGUAGUCUGGGGAAUGCCGCGGCGGGCAGUUGAAACCGGAUUAAAGGAAAUGAUGCCGAAGUGGUAUAUUUGCCGGAAUAUACUGCUGGGCGUAAAGCUAAUAGCUUUGCGACUGUCAUCAAUUUGAUGGGGAGCUACG
Molecule: non-coding RNA, 164 nt
Filed under: uncultured Lachnospira sp.
Lineage: Bacteria; Bacillati; Bacillota; Clostridia; Lachnospirales; Lachnospiraceae
Description: Lysine riboswitch
Rfam family: Lysine riboswitch aptamer
About the family: Riboswitches are metabolite binding domains within certain messenger RNAs that serve as precision sensors for their corresponding targets. Allosteric rearrangement of mRNA structure is mediated by ligand binding, and this results in modulation of gene expression.
Source: RNAcentral